ACACCUCAACUCUCAUGGUUUGCCAUGAUGAGCUUGGACUUUGGGGGUUUUGCUGGCCUAUGGUCGGCUCUCCUCAAACGAAUCAGCUUGCCAGUGUUUUGGUGGCAUUCACGGGUGUGAUAACUAUCUACGCUUGUGGGUUCCUGCCAUGCAACCUUCAGUGAUGAAGGUUCGCUGGAGCUUAUAAAUGUCUCUCUCAGCGAGGACACCUUUUUGAA
Molecule: unclassified non-coding RNA, 218 nt
Filed under: Tomentella punicea
Lineage: Eukaryota; Fungi; Basidiomycota; Agaricomycetes; Thelephorales; Thelephoraceae
Description: partial internal transcribed spacer 2
Source: RNAcentral